ACAAGAACAACAAUGACUUUCAGCAUCAUCUUCAUCUGGACACUCACAGUGUUUGCUCAAGAGUGUAGAGGACAGUACACUGUUACUCAGAGUCCAUCAAUAACAGCAGUUCAACCAGGACAAAGUGUUCAAAUAAACUGUAAAGUCAGCAGUGGAGUGUAUGGUGGUAAUAGAUUACACUGGUACUUACAGAAACCUGGAGAAGCUCCUAAACUCCUCAUAUAUGGAGCAACAAGACUCCAUUCUGGAGUAUCAUCUAGAUUCAGUGGCAGUGGAUCAAACACAGAUUUUACUCUGAGCAUCAGUGGAGUUCAGACUGAAGAUUCAGGAGAUUAUUACUGUCAGAGUUUCCAUUAUCCUAAUAGCAAGUAUGUGUUGACACAGUGAUAAAGAGUCGUACAAAAACCUCCGUCAG
Molecule: non-coding RNA, 415 nt
Organism: Triplophysa dalaica
Lineage: Eukaryota; Metazoa; Chordata; Actinopteri; Cypriniformes; Nemacheilidae
Source: the annotation of a RefSeq genome assembly